AUGGCUCAGAACGAACGCUGGUGGCGUGCUUAUACAUGCAAGUCGAGCGAGGCAGCAAUGCCGAGCGGCGAACGGGUGAGUAACGCGUAAGCAAUCUGCCCCAUAUCAGGGAAAGUACCCGUGCCAACGCGCGGUUAAUGUCCAGGAGAGUGGCUCCUCUGCAUGGAGGGGUUGACUAGAGAUUUAUCGGUAUGGGAUGAGCUUGCGUCCGAUUAGCUAGUUGGCGGGGCAACGGCCCACCAAGGCGACGAUCGGUAGCCGGCCUGAGAGGGUGAUCGGCCACAUUGGGACUGAGAUACGGCCCAGACUCCUACGGGAGGCAGCAGUAGGGAAUAUUGCACAAUGGGGGAAACCCUGAUGCAGCAACGCCACGUGUGGGAAAGAAGCAUUUCGGUGUGUAAACCACUGUCAUGAGGGAAUAAGGCCUGUCUUCGGGCAGGAUUGAAUGUACCUUGAGAGGAAGCACCGGCAAACUUCGUGCCAGCCGCCGC
RNAcentral lists this ribosomal RNA (491 nucleotides) under uncultured bacterium. RNAcentral's name for it is "bacterial SSU rRNA". It matches the Rfam family "Bacterial small subunit ribosomal RNA", at positions 19 to 518 of the family's 1533-position model. The record is from RNAcentral.